RNAcentral lists this transfer RNA (71 nucleotides) under Gordonia sp. (in: high G+C Gram-positive bacteria). Its description in RNAcentral is "Gordonia sp. (anaerobic digester metagenome) tRNA-Gly". It matches the Rfam family "tRNA". Rfam says of the family: Transfer RNA (tRNA) molecules are approximately 80 nucleotides in length. Their secondary structure includes four short double-helical elements and three loops (D, anti-codon, and T loops). Lineage: Bacteria; Bacillati; Actinomycetota; Actinomycetes; Mycobacteriales; Gordoniaceae. The record is from RNAcentral.
GCCGGUGUGGUGUAGUGGCAACACGUCACCUUCCCAAGGUGAAAUUGCGAGUUCGAUUCUCGUCACCGGCU